Molecule: non-coding RNA, 415 nt
Organism: Microcebus murinus (gray mouse lemur)
Lineage: Eukaryota; Metazoa; Chordata; Mammalia; Primates; Cheirogaleidae
Source: RefSeq, a predicted model, not a curated record
CUUCAAGAAUAUCUAAUGGAGUGAAAUUAACGACAUACUGUUUUGAGCCAGAUGACUUUUCACAGUUCUUUAAAUAAACAGGCUACAGGGAGGAAUACUCCCCCAACUUUCCUAAAGGCUAAAAACAUUUCUAUGCUAAAGAAACCAAGGGCAAAUAUUAAGAAACAAAGGGUCUAUGGAAAGAAGAGGCUGGGAGUAGAAGAGAGAAUAUGGAAAGCAGAAGGGAGCAGGAGAAAGGCAACACAAAGAAGUGAAGUGAGACAAAGGAGAGACCAGCUUCUCUCCCCUACAUCCAUCACCUCCAAUUUCCCUAAAAAGGAAACCUCCUGGCACCACCAAGCCUGAUUAGAAACUAAAAAUGGAAAUUUAGGAAAAUGUGUGAUAUUUCAGCUUGAAUAAAGAACUGUUUUUAGUG